UGGUACCUUCAACACAGAGACCAGGACAAUCACAUAUGAUAAAUGGUACCUUCAACACAGAGACCAGGACAAUCACAUAUGAUAAAUGGCAGCGAUGCAAAAAACAACGACCCUGUUGUUGUCACUAUGUACACUCACGCCCACAGCCCUCGAUUAGAUUCACUUAAUCUCAAAUCAUGUUAACAGGUGUAGCUGGAGUGACAGGCAGCAGUAUAGAGUUCCGGCUAAAGACGAAACGUGCAAAACGCUCAUAUUAAUUAGCAUAUAGACCGUGUCAAUAUCACCAAGCUCAACUCCCAAGGCAAUGUACCUAAUAGACAGAAGGAAAGAGCACCUGAGUGCAUUUAGAAUCAGGACACAACACUAAAGAGGGAAUGGCAAGAACAUUGCACUUCUGACAUACAUACCAGUACAUACAUACAGUACAUACAUACAGUACAUACAUACAGUAAAUACAUACAGUACAUACAUACCAUACAUACAUACCAGUACAUACAUACAGUACAUACAUACAGUACAUACAUACCAGUACAUACAUACAGUACAUACAUACCAGUACAUACAUACAGUACAUACAUACCAGUACAUACAUACAGUACAUACAUACCAGUACAUACAUACCAGUACAUACAUACAGUACACACAGUACAUACAUACCUGUACAUACAUACAGUACAUACAUACAGUACAUACAUACCAGUACAUACAUACCAGUACUACAUACAGUACACACAGUACAUACAUACAGUACACACAGUACAUACAUACAGUAAUACAGUACAUACAUACAUACAUACAGGUGAAUACACAUUAGACACUGAUAAAGGUUAUUGUGCUCCACACAGACGUACAAAAAAACAGUUUCUCUUUAGCUUGUGCAUCAUCGUUCUUUUAGAUGAAAUGUCAGAUAGUGACUUCUCAUCCUGGUGGCAGACACCUGGCUCACAGCCAGGUGCUGUAUUUGUUCUGAUCCCAACAGCCCUUCAGUUACAAGUUAACCCACAGACUGACAGUUAACCCACAGACUGUUAGUUAACCCACAGACUGACAGUUAACCCACAGACUGACAGUUAACCCACAGACUGACAGUUAACCCACAGACUGACAGUUAACCCACAGACUGUUAGUUAACCCACAGACUGACAGUUAACCCACAGACUGACAGUUAACCCACAGACUGACAGUUAGUUAACCCACAGACGGAGAGUUAGUUAACCCACAGACGGAGAGUUAGUUAACCCACAGACGGGCAGUUAGUUAACCCACAGACUGACAGUUAGUUAACCCACAGACUGACAGUUAGUUAACCCACAGACUGACAGUUAACCCACAGACUGACAGUUAACCCACAGACUGACAGUUAACCCACAGAUUGACAGUUAGUUAACCCACAGACUGACAGUUAGUUAACCCACAGACUGACAGUUAGUUAAGCCACAGACUGACAGUUAGUUAACCCACAGACUGACAGUUAACCCACAGACUGACAGUUAGUUAACCCACAGACUGACAGUUAGUUAACCCACAGACUGACAGUUAGUUAACCCACAGACUGACAGUUAGUUAACCCACAGACUGACAGUUAGUUAACCCACAGACUGACAGUUAGUUAACCCACAGACUGACAGUUAGUUAACCCACAGACUGUUAGUUAACCCACAGAUUGACAGUUAACCCACAGAUUGACAGUUAACCCACAGAUUGACAGUUAACCCACAGACUGACAAAGACAACCCCUUAAAAGCUCCAUCGAAUAACCACCACUUCCAGUGUAACAUGAAUAUAGCGUUCAGCCCACAGGCAGCAGGAAGGAAAGUAGAAAGACAAGAAGCCAUUACUGAAAACAAAGCAAGCUCUUCAGGUUGAUUGAAACCCUUCACUUGGAAUAGCAUGCUAUAGAAAUCACAAAGAAAGAAGUAUAAUUGUAACGGUUGUUGGAAGGAGAGGACCAAAGCGCAGCGUGGUACGUGUUCAUAAUUUUAUUAAUGGAACUGAACACUGAAUAGCAAAACAACAACAACAACUGAAACAGUUCUGUCUGGUGCAGACACAAAAACAGAAAGCAACUACCCACAAAAACCCAGUGGGAAAAAGCUACCUAAGUAUGGUUCUCAAUCAGAGACAACGAUAGACAGCUGCCUCUGAUUGAGAACCACACCCGGCUAAAAAACAAAGAAAUGCAAAACAUAGAAAAUGAACAUAGAAUGCCCACCCUAGUCACACCCUGGCCUAACCAAAAUAGAGAAUAAAAGCCUCUCUAUGGCCAGGGCGUGACAAUAAUUAAAGAUGGCUGCCGUAAAUACGUGAAACUGGAGGGCAACGAAGAAAAACCCCAGAGGGAUAAAGAGAGGGUGUGAAGAUGGCGUGAGUGAAAGAAAAAACACCAUGUGACCUGGCCAACAGGAAACGUUUUCUUCCAUGACCAUCCCUCUAUCCAUCCUCUCACUGUAGCGCCUAACAGCACUGAUACGUCCAGCAGGGGUUAAUUUACUGUACAUCCCUAAUGGCACCCUAGUCCAUAUAUAGUGCACUACUUUUGACCAGGGCCCAUAGGGACGCUGCCUUAGGCCGGGAUACAAUCGCUGCAAUCGGGGGAACAUAACAAGAAGUCCCGCUAUGACCUCUGUGGGAACAUUACUUAUCCCAGACAACCAGGAGGCUACAGCUGAGGACAGGAACAUUACUUAUCCCAGACAACCAGGAGGCUACAGCUGAGGACAGGAACAUUACUUACCCCAGACAACCAGGAGGCUACAGCUGAGGACAGGAACAUUACUUAUCCCAGACAACCAGGAGGCUACAGCUGAGGACAGGAACAUUACUUAUCCCAGACAACCCUGAGGCUACGGCUGAGGACAGGAACAUUACUUAUCCCAGACAACCCUGUAGCUACAGCUGAGGACAGGAACAUUACUUAUCCCAGACAACCCUGGAGGCUACAGCUGAGGACAGGAACAUUACUUAUCCCAGACAACCCGGAGGCUACGGCUGAGGACAGGAACAUUACUUAUCCCAGACAACUCGGAGGCUACGGCUGAGGACAGGAACAUUACUUAUCCCAGACAACCCUGUAGCUACGGCUGAGGACAGGAACAUUACUUAUCCCAGACAACCCUGGAGCUACGGCUGAGGACAGGAACAUUACUUAUCCCAGACAACCCUGUAGCUACGGCUGAGGACAGGAACAUUACUUAUCCCAGACAACCCUGUAGCUACAGCUGAGGACAGGAACAUUACUUAUCCCAGACAACCCUGUAGCUACAGCUGAGGACAGGAACAUUACUUCACCCAGACAACCCUGUAGCUACAGCUGAGGACAGGAACAUUACUUAUCCCAGACAACCCUGAAGCUACGGCUGACGACAGGAAUAUUACUUAUCCCAGACAACCCUGAAGCUACGGCUGACGACAGUAACAAGUAGAAGAAGUUCCGCUAUGACCACUGCAGUCAUCAGACGAGCAAAAGGACAAUUUAGGUGGAAUCAUAUUUCACAGGCUCUGACGCCCGCAGUAUGUUGCAGGGGCUACAGUCCAUUACGGUUUACAAAGGAAGACCCAGCCGUGAUCUACCCAGCGAUGCCUCUCUACAAGACCAACUCAGUGCAUUUUAUGAACGCUUCAACAAUAACAACAUUUGUGCCGGGUGUGAGGUUUGCCAACCGACCCUGAAGAUUUGGUGAUCUCACUCUCCGAGGCCAAUGUGAGAUUGUCCUCGUUGUCCAAAUCACUAAGGAAUUAACAUGGUCUACACACGCGCACAGUCAUGAAGAAGGAACAACAGCGCCUCUUCCCCCUCAGGAGGUUGAAAAGAUUUGGCAUGGGCCCUCAAAUCCUCAAUAAUUUAUACAGCUGCACCAUCGAGAGCAUCUUGACUGGCUGCAUCACCGCCUGGUAUAGUAAUAGCACCGCCCCUGAUCGCAUGGCGCUACAGAGGGUGGUGCAGCUAGCCCAGUACAUCACUGGGGCCGACCUCUCUGCCAUCCAGGACCAAAAUAUCAGGUGGUGUGAAAGGAAGGCCCGGAAAAGCGUCAACGACUCCAGCCAACCCAUAGACUGUUCUCUCUGCUUCCGCACGGUACCGGUGCAUGAAAUCUGACACCAACAGGCCCCUGAACAGUUUCUAUCCCCAAGCCAUACGACCGCUGAACAACACAGACUAUCUGAGUUGACCCUUGUGGUUUAUUUUUUUCACUGUCUCUAUGCACACUGACAGGGCCCUGCACAGUCACACACACUGACAGGGCCCUGCACAGUCACACACACUGACAGGGCCCUGCACAGUCACACACACUGACAGGGCCCUGCACAGUCACACACACUGACAGGGGCCUGCACAGUCACACACACUGACAGGGCCCUGCACAGUCACACACACUGACAGGGCCCUGCACAGUCACACACACUGACAGGGCCCUGCACAGUCACACACACUGACAGGGCCCUGCACAGUCACACACACUGACAGGGCCCUGCACAGUCACACACACUGACAGGGCCCUGCACAGUCACUGACAGUCCAACACACACAAUAGGACUCAUUUUUACACAAUAGGACUCAUUAACAGGCGGUGCUGAACGUGUCCUCUCCGGCCAGAUCAACAGCUGUCCUCCGUGAUAAAGAUCACACACACACACACACACACACACACACACACACACACACACACACACACACACACACACACACACACACACACACACACACACACACACACACACACACACACACACACACACACACACACACACACACACACACACACACAGAAAGGCAUUUCACUAUACUUGUGCACGUGACAUUAAAAAACGUGAACCUUUAAAAGCCGCAUUAAUCACAGAUCUGCUGAAAUCAUCAGCUGCUCCAUACUGCAUAUAAAGGUUGCAUAACUAAAAUGACAGGGAACAUGUUUUAAAGGUAAAUAAAUUGCGUCCAUCUUUUCUAUGAUUGUGUGCACAGACAAUACGUUGUUUUUCAAAUUGAGCCCUCUGGCAUUCUAUCCAAUCAGCGGUUAGCUCUGCUUUAUUAGUUUGCUUUGACAUUUAAAGGUAAUUUCUGAUUGAGCUGACAUAUGCAGUGUUUAACAUAAAUGUGGUCACCGCGAACAUGGGGAACAUUGCCUUUAAAAAGGUGCAUAGCCUAAAAGAGGCGAUCGGAUUGAAUCCCGGAUUGAAUCAGAGGCUCAAUUCAGAAGUGCUAUUGACCCUUAAUUUAUACGCUGCCCUCUCCUAUCAGUCCUCAAUGGAGCGUUUUGCACAAUAGAAUUGCAUCAAAUCUGAAGAGAUGUAGGGAUUGUGUUGUUGUGAAUAUAGAGACGUUGUUGCUAGUGGUGUUCCUAGUCACCAUAUUGUAAUGGUCCCUGGCAGAGCUGUGAAAGUGACAACACACUUCCAGAGAGAGAGAGAGAGAGAGAGAGAGAGCCAGUCAGCCAGCCAGCCAGACAGAGACAGCCAGCCAGACAGACAGACAGAGACAGACAGCCAGCCAGACAGCCAGACAGAGACAGCCAGCCAGCCAGCCAGACAGAGACAGCCAGCCAGCCAGACAGAGACAGCCAGCCAGCCAGACAGACAGACAGCCAGACAGACAGCCAGACAGCCAGCCAGACAGAGACAGCCAGCCAGACAGACAGCCAGACAGACAGACAGACAGAGUGACUUAACAGUCUCCUCUCUUCAGCUGUUGGUGCUACUCACGACCAAACAAUGAAACACACCAUGACAGCUACUAAAGUUCUGAAAGAUGCUCUGCCUCUGAUUACUGAUCACAGCCCGACUGGAGAUGAUCAAUCACACACACGCGCACGGUUUUUGAGUCAGAUAUAGCAGUGAUGGAAGAAGGAGAAUGUGUUAAUGGGAGAAGAGGAUGCGUUAGAGGAGAAGAUGAGAGCAACAGAGAUGAAGACAAGACGACAGCCUGUGACAUGGCCUGUCGACUGGAGGUCAAACGGAGGUGUGUGUGUGUCUGUUUAUGUGUGUGUGUGUGUGUAUAUCCGUACGUCUGUGUGUGUGUGUAUAUCCGUACGUCUGUGUGUGUGUGUGUAUAUCCGUACGUCUGUGCGUGUGUGUAUAUCCGUACGUCUGUGUGUGUGUGU
Long non-coding RNA from Oncorhynchus tshawytscha (Chinook salmon), 6092 nucleotides. The record is from Ensembl. Lineage: Eukaryota; Metazoa; Chordata; Actinopteri; Salmoniformes; Salmonidae.